RNAcentral lists this long non-coding RNA (1037 nucleotides) under Gouania willdenowi (blunt-snouted clingfish). RNAcentral's name for it is "lncRNA (ENSGWIG00000016644.1)". The record is from RNAcentral. Lineage: Eukaryota; Metazoa; Chordata; Actinopteri; Blenniiformes; Gobiesocidae.
GUCGGAGAGGAAUGCCAACAUCCACUGAUGGAGGAGAAGAAAGAUGGAGGACGGGAGUGCCAGCAUCUACCAAUGGAGGAGAAGAAAUACUUUUAUUAACCAAAACAAUAAUUCACUGAUUGAGAACAAGGAAGAUGGAAGAGUACCAUCAUCUACCAAUGGAGGAGGAGGAGGAGAAAAAUGGGGGAGCACCAGCAUCCAAAAGUGUCCCACAAUCAGCCCCAGGAGGAGAUCUCAGCAGUGGAAAGAAAGACUAUUAACCAAAACAAUGUAAGUAAAACUUCUCAUUUCCUCAGAAAGACACUGAUCACAUGUUUAAUGUAUAAAUAUACGCCACGUUUUACUAACACCUAUAAAAUGUUUGAGAGGAACGCCAACAUCCACUGAUGGAGGAGAAGAAAGAUGGAGGACGGGAGUGCCAGCAUCUACCAAUGGAGGAGAAGAAAUACUUUUAUUAACCAAAACAAUGUAAGUAAAACCUCUCGUUUACACAGAAAGACACUGGACACGUUUAUUGUAAAAAAAUGACAUUACUUUAUCAUAAUGCCAGUAAAAUGUUUGACUUGAAUACCAGAAUUCACUGAUUGAGAACAAGGAAGAUGGAAGAGUACCAUCAUCUACAAAUGGAGGAGGAGGAGGAGAAAAAUGGGGGAGCACCAGCAUCCAAAAGUGUCCCACAAUCAGCCCCAGGAGGAGAUCUCAGCAGUGGAAAGAAAGACUAUUAACCAAAGCAAUGUAAGUAAAACUUCUCAUUUCCUCAGAAAGACACUCACAUGUUUAAUGUAUAAAUAUACGCCACGUUUUACUAACACCUAUAAAAUGUUGGAGAGGAACGCCAACAUCCACUGAUGGAGGAGAAGAAAGAUGGAGGACGGGAGUGCCAGCAUCUACCAAUGGAGGAGAAGAAAUACUUUUAUUAACCAAAACAAUGUAAGUCAAACCUCUCGUUUACACAGAAAGACACUGGACACGUUUAUUGUAAAAAAUGACUUUCUAAAAAUGCUUGUAAAAUGUUGGACUUGAACACCAGAAUCCAC